AGAGUUUGCUCUUGGCUCAAGAUGAACGCUGGCGGCGUGCUUAACACAUGCAAGUCGAGCAAAGCGGUUUCAAUGAAGUUUUCGGAUGGACUUGAAAUCGACUUAGAGGCGGACGGGUGAGUAACGCUGUGGGUAACCUGCCUUACUCUGGGGGAUAACAGUUAGAAAUGACUGCUAAUACCGCAUCCGCGCACAGGGGGGCAUGGGCUGGUGUGAAAAACUCCGGUGGUGUAAGAUGGACCCGCGUCUGAUUAGGUAGUUGGUGGGGUAACGGCCCACCAAGCCGACGAUCAGUAGCCGACCUGAGAGGGUGACCGCCCACAUUGGGACUGAGACACGGCCCACACUCCUACGGGAGGCAGCAGUGGGGAAUAUUGGACAAUGGGCGAAAGCCUGAUCCAGCGACGCCGCGUGAGUGAAGAAGUAUUUCGGUAUGUAAAGCUCUAUCAGCAGGGAAGAAAAUGACAGUACCUGACUAAGAAGCCCCGGCUAACUACGUGCCAGCACCCGCGGUAAUACGUAGGGGGCAAGCGUUAUCCGGAUUUACUGGGUGUAAAGGGAGCGUAGACGGUUAAGCAAGUCUGAAGUGAAAGCCCGGGGCUCAACCCCGGUACUGCUUUGGAAACUGUUUGACUUGAGUGCAGGAGAGGGAACCGGAAUUCUCGGUGUAGCAGUGAAAUGCGUAGAUAUCGAGAGGAACACUCGUGGCGAAGGCGGGUUCCUGGACAUUAACUGACGCUGAGGCACGAAGGCCAGGGGAGCGAAAGGGAUUAGACACCCCUGUAGUCCUGGCAGUAAACGGUG
RNAcentral lists this ribosomal RNA (804 nucleotides) under uncultured bacterium. RNAcentral's name for it is "bacterial SSU rRNA". It matches the Rfam family "Bacterial small subunit ribosomal RNA", at positions 8 to 811 of the family's 1533-position model. The record is from RNAcentral.